AACUGGAAGUUGAGUAUUUCUGAGGCUUUCCUAAGUGAGGGAAAGAAUUAUUACAGUAAAGGUACAAUAUCAUUCUUUAUUACAGUUUUUUAUACCACCCAGCUAACUUUCCUGAAUUUGUUGAUUAUGAUUUUCCCUCCUGAAAUAGAUUCUGUAAUUAACAGUUUGUAUCUUUUCAUGCCAGGCCGGAGGGGGCUUGGAACAACCUGGACUAGUGGAAGGUGUCCCUGCCUGAUGCCAAGGUGAGCUGAAGGAUGAUUUUUUCCUUACUGGGACAUGUGCCCUGUUUGUCUCCAGUAUUUUUCUGGAAGAAACCAACAUUUUCUCGUUUAUCCUCGCAGCGGUGGCAGCACUGAUGUCCCUUUCAGACUGAAAUCCAGAGGCUGAUUGCCCUCCCUGGCCCUGGGAGGGUCGGGCAGUGCCAGCCGUGUCCUGCUGUCCCCUUCCUGCCCUUCCUGCAGCACGCUGGGUGUGGGACGAGCGCCGAGGGUCCCGUGGGAGCGCAGGAAGCGCCGAUCCAUGGAGAGGCGAGCAGGGAUGGCCGCUCUGAGGGUUUUGGACCCUUAAAAGCUGGAAGUGUAUCCUCCAAGAGGCAAGGUUGCUUCAGGCUCUUUGGUGAGGGUGAAAUGAAGCUCUGCCGUGUGUCAGAGCUGAACCAGAGGUGAAUUACCUGACCUGGAGGGAUGCAUCCACUGCUGGAGAACCAGGACAUUCUGGGGAGCUCCCAAGGUUUGCAUCACACUUCUGCCACAGCUGACUUGGACCCUUUGGAACUGGAAACAAGGCUUGGUUCAGGCAGUGGCUCUAAAAAGCAUUCUGAGGGGCACUGCUGGAAGGCCCAGGGACACCUCAGCCAAGGCCCAGGAUCCUUUCCUGCUGCAUCCAGAAGGUGCUGCUGGGGGACUCACACUGAUUCCAACAGCUCCAAAGGGACCAUGUGGAGGCCAGGAGCAGCUCAGACUCAGGUGGUGAAAGCACAGCACCAUUUCCCUGCCUUGAGGGAAGAAGGUCUCUGAACAGCCAUGCAUCAAGUGAAAUGAAGUGGUUUAUGUCCCAGAGGAGUCUGCAGCUCAUCCACAACAUGAUACCUGCAUGUUUUGAGAGGUUCUCUGGACUUUCUGCCAGGGCUCCUUAUCCAGUUCAUGACAGAGUGGCUUGGGAGGGGAAUGUGCUGUUCAGCAUCUCAGGUAAAACCCAG
Molecule: long non-coding RNA, 1198 nt
Filed under: Serinus canaria (Common canary)
Lineage: Eukaryota; Metazoa; Chordata; Aves; Passeriformes; Fringillidae
Description: lncRNA (ENSSCAG00000009624.1)
Source: RNAcentral